This 452-nucleotide ribosomal RNA is filed under the name uncultured bacterium. RNAcentral describes it as "bacterial SSU rRNA". It matches the Rfam family "Bacterial small subunit ribosomal RNA", at positions 354 to 796 of the family's 1533-position model. The record is from RNAcentral.
GUCGGGAAUUUUGGGCAAUGGGCGAAAGCCUGACCCAGCAACGCCGCGUGAGCGAUGAAGGCCUUCGGGUCGUAAAGCUCUGUCGAGAGGGAAGAAGGUUCUCGGGGUGAACAAUCCCGGGGAAAAGACGGUACCUCUAAAGGAAGCGCCGGCUAACUCCGUGCCAGCAGCCGCGGUAAUACGGAGGGCGCAAGCGUUGUUCGGAAUCACUGGGCGUAAAGCGCGUGUAGGCGGCUUGGCAAGUCGGGUGUGAAAGCCCGGGGCUCAACCCCGGAACUGCACUCGAAACUGCCUCGCUCGAGUCCCGGAGAGGGUGGUGGAAUUCCCGGUGUAGAGGUGAAAUUCGUAGAUAUCGGGAGGAACACCAGUGGCGAAGGCGGCCACCUGGACGGUGACUGACGCUGAGACGCGAAAGCGUGGGGAGCAAACAGGAUUAGAAACCCCGGUAGUCC